RNAcentral lists this ribosomal RNA (549 nucleotides) under uncultured Glomus. RNAcentral's name for it is "SSU rRNA". It matches the Rfam family "Eukaryotic small subunit ribosomal RNA", at positions 549 to 1098 of the family's 1831-position model. Lineage: Eukaryota; Fungi; Glomeromycota; Glomeromycetes; Glomerales; Glomeraceae. The record is from RNAcentral.
UGGAGGGCAAGUCUGGUGCCAGCAGCCGCGGUAAUUCCAGCUCCAAUAGCUUAUAUUAAAGUUGUUGCAGUUAAAAAGCUCGUAGUUGAAUUUCGGGAUUUGUCAGUUGGUCGGGCUUAACUGUCCGUAUUGACUCGAUGGAUUCUUACCUUCUGAAUAACCAGCAUGCUAUUAAUUUAGUGCGUUGGGGAAGCAGAUCUAUUACCUUGAAAAAAUUAGAGUGCUUAAAGCGAGCUAGUGCUUGAAUAGAUUAGCAUGGAAUAAUAAAAUAGGACGGCAUGGUUCUAUUUUGUUGGUUUCUAGGACCACCGUAAUGAUUAAUAGGGAUGUUGGGGGCAUUAGUAUUCAAUUGUCAGAGGUGAAAUUCUUGGAUUUAUUGAAGACUAACUUCUGCGAAAGCAUUUGCCAAGGAUGUUUUCAUUAAUCAAGAACGAAAGUUAGGGGAUCGAAGACGAUCAGAUACCGUCGUAGUCUUAACCAUAAACUAUGCCGACUAGGAAUCGGACGAUGUUAAUUUUAUAAUGACUCGUUCGGCACCUUACGGGAAAC